Molecule: long non-coding RNA, 432 nt
Organism: Corvus hawaiiensis (hawaiian crow)
Lineage: Eukaryota; Metazoa; Chordata; Aves; Passeriformes; Corvidae
Exons: 3
Source: RefSeq, a predicted model, not a curated record
UUGACAAAACACCAGUGUUACUUCUGGAAUCUUCCUUCAUGGAGAAAAUAAGCUAUCAGCAAUGAAGACAGGAAAGAGACAUGGUAUAAAUUGGUGUUUUCAUUUCUGACCUGUAUAUUUGCUUUUUCACACUGGGCUGCCUUUCUGUAUCCAUUAUCUCUGAUGACAACCCUGGGAGCUGAAAAUCACUUGUAUUAUAAACGAUGAAUAAAAGCAACACAGAGAGGCAACUUGGCAUGCAAGGACCACAAGAACCAUGAAGGCUGGCUCUCUUCUGUUUUUCAAAAGACCACACUUCUGGACAGAUUUUAUCCUGGUACUUCACUGAUUUGGAGGAACCAGCCACAAAGAUUUCCACUCCAUGGCAUCUAACAAGAUCAACUGGAACUUUUUUAUUGGAAAUGCCUUGGAAAAAUAUUAACAUAAAACCCC